This 253-nucleotide ribosomal RNA is filed under the name uncultured bacterium. RNAcentral describes it as "partial 16S ribosomal RNA". It matches the Rfam family "Bacterial small subunit ribosomal RNA", at positions 524 to 776 of the family's 1533-position model. The record is from RNAcentral.
UACGUAGGGUGCAAGCGUUGUCCGGAAUUAUUGGGCGUAAAGAGCUCGUAGGCGGUUCGUCACGUCGGCUGUGAAAACCUGAGGCCCAACCUCAGGCCUGCAGUCGAUACGGGCGGACUCGAGUUCGGCAGGGGAGACUGGAAUUCCUGGUGUAGCGGUGAAAUGCGCAGAUAUCAGGAGGAACACCGGUGGCGAAGGCGGGUCUCUGGGCCGAUACUGACGCUGAGGAGCGAAAGCGUGGGGAGCGAACAGG